AGCCUACGUAUGACCACCAUAAUCUUCUUCUCUGCCCUAAACCCACCGCCACCAUCUCAAUCGCCACCAGUACUCCCUUCCAAAUCGCACCACCAACACCACCACAACAACUGUAGAAUCCAAUAUUGAGAUAUUCACCGCCUCCGGACCAAGAACAAACAGAUCUAGAAAUGAAUCGGUUAUCUUUUUGGAUUUGCAUGUUCGUGAUAAAAAUUGAAUUUCAAUUUCCGUCGGUUCUAAAUUGGGGAUAGAGAUCAAAGGGGAUUUAGGUGAUUAUCUUUCUUUUGUGGUUCUAUUCUAUGCUGGUAAUGGUGGUAUUCUAACUAGUUGUUGGUAUAGUUGUUGUUGUUGGUGGUGAGGGUGAGGGUGGGAUGAUGAAAUUGGUGUGGGAGAUAGUGGCGGUUCUUGUUGUUUAGGUGGUGGUGCCGUGGUGGAGAUUUGGUGCGACCGACUUUGGUGGUUGGGAGAUGGUAAUGGUGGCGAUUUAAAGAACAAAUGCAAAUGAUGGUGGUUUUAUUGCUCCUUCCCCAACUGUUGGCUAUGGAAAAAGCUUGAUCCUAGUCUUGAAAUACGUGUACCCGCUGUAAUCUUGAACACAUCACAGUUCAUGGACUUAGGCAAAAAUGUUUGUUUGCAGAGAUUUUGUUUUGCAACCUAAGCAUCUCCCAUCCCGUUUCAGCAUCAAGUACAGUUAGCGAGAUGAAAAGCGUUGUCAAAGAUACUUGGACUUCCUAAAGACCUCAUUCAGUUUUCUUUCGUUGUUUAUGAAACGUUGUACAGUAUAUCAUUUAUUCUUAUCGACUUAAAAUAUUUAGCUCUUUGUUGCUUCUCUAAUUCAAGUACUUAUUUAUCUAGUGCUUGUUCUUCGUUAUCUAGUUGUAUUCUAAUGACGAAGUAUCUAUGUUGUAGAUAUUUAUCUAGUGCUUGUUCUUCGUCAUCUAGUUGUAUUCUCAAUGACGAAGUAUCUAUGUUGUAGAAGACUUGACUGAUGACGUAUUUGUUGUAGAAGACUUGGCUUAUUUGAAUAGAUGAUUUUAGAGUUUCUGAAC
This is a long non-coding RNA of Papaver somniferum (opium poppy), 1049 nucleotides long. RefSeq lists it as uncharacterized. Lineage: Eukaryota; Viridiplantae; Streptophyta; Magnoliopsida; Ranunculales; Papaveraceae. The record is from RefSeq and is a predicted model, not a curated record. The transcript has 3 exons.